This is a non-coding RNA of Clupea harengus (Atlantic herring), 790 nucleotides long. The record is from the annotation of a RefSeq genome assembly. NCBI's taxonomy places the organism in Eukaryota, Metazoa, Chordata, Actinopteri, Clupeiformes, Clupeidae.
AACUUAGUUGUUUUUAUCAGUAUGAGAGUUUAUGUGCAGCGACUCAGUACAUCUAAAGCACUCUGGUGGAUUUAAUGUGAGGGGAAUUAACAAACAUUUUGAAAAAAAUGAGAUCCAAAGCAUGUCUGGGUACUUGAGACUGCUGGAGUUUGUGCAGGAGGUUUUUGUACGGCCGCUUAAUGAGUCUGUAUCACUGUGGUACACUUUUGGUGGAGGAACCAGACUGGCUUUUGGAACUGAUACUCGGCCCAGCCUGACGCUGCUUCCCCCCUCCAGUGUGGAGCUGCAGCAGGGGAAGGCCACACUCAUGUGCCUGGCCACCAAGGGCUUCCCCUGGGACUGGAGGCUGAGCUGGAAGGUGGACGGGAGCAGCAGGAGCUCCGCGGGGAGCCAGAGCCCUGCGCUCCUGGAGAAGGACGGCCUCUACAGCUGGAGCAGCACCCUCACCCUCACCCAGGACCAGUGGAGGAAGGGGGCAAAGGUCACCUGUGAGGCCACACAGGGCAACCAGCAUCCCGUCACUCAGGAUAUCAAGACGGGAGACUGCUCCGAGUAGAGACAGAUCACUCACACAUGCUUACACAGAGGGAGAAACACACACACGCACACACACACACAAAUGCAUGCACAUGCAGACUGAUAGGCGCACACAUACACUUACGUGUUCACAUACAUACUGUUUUCUGGUAUUAACCUAAAUAUGCUUCAUGUUUCAUAUUUGCCCAAAUGUAUUGUGUAUGUUAUCUUUCUUUAUUUUAACUUCAGACAUGAAUAAAAAGCUUGAUAAUCA